AUGUCAUUAGUCCAGGUUGGGCGUUAGCUUUGAAGGGGCUAAAGGUUUCAGGCAUU
Molecule: transfer RNA, 56 nt
Filed under: Sancassania berlesei
Lineage: Eukaryota; Metazoa; Arthropoda; Arachnida; Sarcoptiformes; Acaridae
Description: tRNA-Phe
Source: RNAcentral